This 677-nucleotide ribosomal RNA is filed under the name uncultured bacterium. Its description in RNAcentral is "bacterial SSU rRNA". It matches the Rfam family "Bacterial small subunit ribosomal RNA", at positions 61 to 747 of the family's 1533-position model. The record is from RNAcentral.
GUCGAGCGAGAAAGGGCUUCGGCCCUGAGUACAGCGGCGCACGGGUGAGUAACACGUGGGUAAUCUGCCCUAGAGUGGGGAAUAACACCGGGAAACCGGUGCUAAUACCGCAUACGAUCACGAUGUCUUCGGAUGUUGUGAUGAAAGGAGCAAUUCGCUCUUGGAGGAGCCCGCGGCUGAUUAGCUAGUUGGUAAGGUAAUGGCUUACCAAGGCAACGAUCAGUAGCCGGUCUGAGAGGACGGUCGGCCACACUGGAACUGAGACACGGUCCAGACUCCUACGGGAGGCAGCAGUGGGGAAUUUUUCGCAAUGGGGGCAACCCUGACGAAGCAACGCCGCGUGGAUGAUGAAGUCUCUUGGGACGUAAAAUCCUUUCGACGGGGAAGAAACCGCAAGGUUGACGGUACCCGUAGAAGAAGCCCCGGCUAACUCCGUGCCAGCAGCCGCGGUAAUACGGGGGGGGCAAGCGUUGUUCGGGAUUACUGGGCGUAAAGGGCGCGUAGGCGGUUCGCUAAGUUGAAUGUGAAAACUCUGGGCUUAACCCAGAGCCUGCAUUCAAUACUGGCGGGCUAGAGUUCUGGAGGGGAUAGCGGAAUUCCUGGUGUAGCGGUGAAAUGCGUAGAUAUCAGGAGGAACACCGGUGGCGAAGGCGGCUAUCUGGACAGAGUCUGACGCU